RNAcentral lists this ribosomal RNA (701 nucleotides) under uncultured bacterium. RNAcentral's name for it is "bacterial SSU rRNA". It matches the Rfam family "Bacterial small subunit ribosomal RNA", at positions 8 to 709 of the family's 1533-position model. The record is from RNAcentral.
AGAGUUUGAUCCUGGCUCAGAACGAACGCUGGUGGCGUGCCUUAUACAUGCAAGUCGUGCGGUAACACUUCGGGUGACGAGCGGCGAACGGGUGAGUAACAUGUGAGUAACCUGCCCCUCAGUUUGGGAUAGCCCGCCUAACGGCGGAUUAAUACCAAAUAUUGUGGUCCAACGCCUGUUGGAUUGACGAAAGCGGCUUCGGUCGCGUUGGGGGAUGGACUCGCACAAGAUUAGUUAGUUGGUGAGGUAACGGCUCACCAAGACAGCGAUCUUUAGCCGGCCUGAGAGGGUGAUCGGCCACAUUGGGACUGAGAUACGGCCCAGACUCCUACGGGAGGCAGCAGUAGGGAAUAUUGCGCAAUGGGGGAAACCCUGACGCAGCAACGCCACGUGUGGGAUGACGCAUUUAGGUGUGUAAACCACUGUCAACAGGGAAUAAACUACAGCUUAAUAACCUGUAUUGAAGGUACCUGUAAAGGAAGCACCGGCUAACUUCGUGCCAGCAGCCGCGGUAAUACGAGGGGUGCAAGCGUUGUUCGGAAUCACUGGGCGUAAAGGGUGCGUAGGCGGAAAAGCAAGUCAGAUGUUUAAUUUUGGGGCCUAACCCCAAGUCGGCAUUUGAAACUGCUUUUCUUGAGUAGGUUAGAGGUAAGCGGAAUACCUGGUGUAGCGGUGGAAUGCGUAGAGAUCAGGUAGAACAC